UACGGAGGGGGCGAGCGUUAUUCGGAAUUAUUGGGCGUAAAGGGCGCGUAGGCGGCCUUGUAAGUCAAAGGUGAAAUCCCUCGGCUCAACUGAGGAACUGCCUUUGAAACUGCAAGGCUUGAGGCCGGGAGGGGGUAGCGGAAUUCCCAAUGUAGCGGUGAAAUGCGUAGAUAUUGGGAGGAACACCAGUGGCGAAGGCGGCUACCUGGACCGGUACUGACGCUGAGGCGCGAAAGCCAGGGGAGCAAACGGG
This 253-nucleotide ribosomal RNA is filed under the name uncultured bacterium. RNAcentral describes it as "partial 16S ribosomal RNA". It matches the Rfam family "Bacterial small subunit ribosomal RNA", at positions 524 to 776 of the family's 1533-position model. The record is from RNAcentral.